RNAcentral lists this long non-coding RNA (625 nucleotides) under Homo sapiens (human). RNAcentral describes it as "HSALNT0330133". Lineage: Eukaryota; Metazoa; Chordata; Mammalia; Primates; Hominidae. The record is from RNAcentral.
GUAGAUGCUCAGCCUCCAAACCAUGCCUUGCGUACUUGGCUUUGCCAUUCUGCAAACCAAAUGUCUGCUUUGUUGGCUGGCUUCUUGUGCAGCUCCAUGAACACAGGGUGUCACAGGGGAGUGGAAGCUGGAGGAAGGAAAGGGGCUCGCUCCUGUGAGCUUUCUGUCUGCUGUGGUUCCUAUAUACGUCAUUCCUGGAAUGCUUCUUUACCCCUCAGAGGCAGUGCUUUUCCGGAGCAGCAGCUGAGUCCAGGGACUUCUGCUUGCUGCUGCCAAGUGAAAAAUCAUGUAUUUACUUCCCGUUCCGCCGUGAUUGUAAGUUUCCUGAGGCCUCCCCAGCCCUGCAGAACUCAACAAUACCAGGAAACACAAAUUUACAUACUGCUCCACAGUAAAGUCUAUUUGAAUCUCCUGACUUAAAAAAAAUCUGAGCUAAAGCUGGUUUAAGUACUAUAGAAACAACGGGGUGAUAUGAAGAUAUGAUGACUCCUUUUAUAAACUAACUUCAAAAUGUUAGCUUUUUUUAUAGUCAUCAGCUCACUCUAACGCUGUACCACUGUGAUCUUAACUUUGUUUAAACAUCAAUCCUUGUGCACACUGUGCUUAAAUGAGUCUUGCCAUAGCC